GGUCCCUAUCUGCCGUGGGCGCUGGAGAACUGAGGGGGGCUGCUCCUAGUACGAGAGGACCGGAGUGGACGCAUCACUGGUGUUCGGGUUGUCAUGCCAAUGGCACUGCCCGGUAGCUAAAUGCGGAAGAGAUAAGUGCUGAAAGCAUCUAAGCACGAAACUUGCCCCGAGAUGAGUUCUCCCUGACUCCCUGAGAGUCCUGAAGGAACGUUGAAGACGACGACGUUGAUAGGCCGGGUGUGUAAGCGCAGCGAUGCGUUGAGCUAACCGGUACUAAUGAACCGUGAGGCUUAACCUUACAACGCCGAAGGUGUUU
RNAcentral lists this ribosomal RNA (316 nucleotides) under Escherichia coli. Its description in RNAcentral is "partial 23S ribosomal RNA". It matches the Rfam family "Bacterial large subunit ribosomal RNA", at positions 2633 to 2925 of the family's 2925-position model. Lineage: Bacteria; Pseudomonadati; Pseudomonadota; Gammaproteobacteria; Enterobacterales; Enterobacteriaceae. The record is from RNAcentral.